Molecule: ribosomal RNA, 902 nt
Filed under: methanogenic bacterium enrichment culture clone Me_c51
Lineage: Bacteria
Description: bacterial SSU rRNA
Rfam family: Bacterial small subunit ribosomal RNA
Source: RNAcentral
AGUUUGAUCCUGGCUCAGAACUAACGCUGGCGGCGUGCCUAACACAUGCAAGUCGUACGAGAAAGUUGGCUUCGGCCGAUGAGUAAAGUGGCGCACGGGUGAGUAACGCGUGGAUAAUCUACCCCUCAGUUGGGAAUAACUCAUCGAAAGGUGGGCUAAUACCGAAUAAUACUGCAUGACUUCUGUUGUGUAGUCAAAGAUGGCCUCUGCUUGCAAGCUAUUGCUGAAGGAUGAGUCCGCGUACCAUUAGCUAGUUGGUAGGGUAAUGGCCUACCAAGGCAACGAUGGUUAGCUGGUCUGAGAGGAUGAUCAGCCACACUGGAACUGAGACACGGUCCAGACUCCUACGGGAGGCAGCAGUGAGGAAUAUUGCGCAAUGGGGGAAACCCUGACGCAGCAACGCCGCGUGAGUGAGGAAGGUUUUCGGACCGUAAAGCUCUGUCGAGCGGGAAGAAAUGCAUAGUGGCUAAUAUCCAUUAUGCUUGACGGUACCGCUAAAGGAAGCACCGGCUAACUCCGUGCCAGCAGCCGCGGUAAUACGGGGGGUGCUAGCGUUGUUCGGAAUCAUUGGGCGUAAAGAGCGUGUAGGCGGCUGGAUAAGUCAGAUGUGAAAGCCCUGGGCUUAACCUAGGAAGUGCAUUUGAAACUGUUCAGCUUGAGUAAGGGAGAGGAAAGUGGAAUUCCUGGUGUAGAGGUGAAAUUCGUAGAUAUCAGGAGGAACACCGGUGGCGAAGGCGACUUUCUGGCCCUAUACUGACGCUGAGACGCGAGAGCGUGGGUAGCAAACAGGAUUAGAUACCCUGGUAGUCCACGCUGUAAACGAUGUUCACUAGGUGUUGGGGGUAUUGACCCUCUCAGUGCCGCAGCUAACGCAUUAAGUGAACCGCCUGGGGAGUACGGUC